This is a long non-coding RNA of Helianthus annuus (common sunflower), 2681 nucleotides long. RefSeq lists it as uncharacterized. The record is from RefSeq and is a predicted model, not a curated record. The transcript is spliced from 5 exons. NCBI's taxonomy places the organism in Eukaryota, Viridiplantae, Streptophyta, Magnoliopsida, Asterales, Asteraceae.
AAUCCCGUUGAUAACUGUAACUACAAACAUUUGUCAACCCCUACCCACAUUAAGUCAAAAAAUCUUCAGAAGAUCUCUCUCCCCAAUAUGGUAAACUCAUCGUUCUUUCUUCUUCCCUAGGGUAAAAAUUGCUCAUCGGCCUCCUACUCACCUCCUGUACCGUCGGCCACCACCUGUACUGAACCAGCGCUAAUUUUGAGUCUAGUCUCAAGAAAAUUUAGGCGAUUCAAGCUAACAAGCAUGUUUGGUACUGUCGAAUCCCCUAACUCCCGAUGGUGGUUGAAGAGACUCGUUGACGUCCAAAGAGAUCUUCUCUAGGUUCUGCAAAAGAGAAUACCGUUAGCCUCGUCACGGAGGGCCCCGGAGGGGAUCCAUGACCAAGCUCCAGCGUGAGAAUAAGUAAACUUGCCGGAGAAGAAAGGUUAUUCUGGCAUGAUGAAGUUGCCAGAAUGUUUUGGUGUGAAUCCUGAGAUUCGAGUAUUCAAUGCGAAUCAAGGAAUGUUCGAAGUGAAUGCAGUUCUUGUAUAUGUCUGAUGGUUAUUCAAUGCUUACCUUAAUCGAUCAUGAGUAUAGCUUAUAUAUAGAGAUAAGCUUAUCAACCGGUGGGGUUCUAUGUAUGAUCUAACGGUCUCUUGUUAGACAGAGAGGAUCUUUGCAGCGCCGAAUGCGUGUCUCACCCUCACCGAAUGCGUGUCUCACUACCAACCUCGUACUUCUCUGGUUGUAGCUUUAGCUUUCUCUCUCUUCUGCAGGCCAUUAAUGGCCUUGCAGGGACGAUGAGGUGAUAGAUCUUUUCUAUUCCCGCUCUUUUAUCAUGCUACUCUUUGAGAAUAACAGCAAGACGAAGAGCCCAAACGAGGGGCCCUCGUCGACAGGUUACUUCAGCAGCUUGCUCAAUCUUAGUCAAGAUGAUUGGUAAUGCAUAAACGCAUUAUUAGUUUUAGACCCAUUCAUAGCCAUAAGGGGAGGAUAUUGGUCAAGAGUUUUUACAUUGUAUACAUGGCUAAGGUAUUAAAAAUGCUACGAUCAAGACGGUUGACGACACAUCUAGUAAUGAUAAGGCGAUUGAUUAUCUGUUGAGAAAUUGACCAAUUUGUAUGCCGAGGGGAAACAUUUUCAUAUUAGGUGUGUGGCACACAUACUAAACCUAAUUGUCAAGGAUGGUUUAAUGGAAAACAAUUAUCAUGUUGAUUGUUUAGGAAAAGCGGUUAGAUAUAUUCGGAACUCAACGCAAAGAAUAACCAAGUUCAAAAAGUGCAUGGUGGCUUCGGAUCUUGAAUCAACAAAGUUUUUGUGUGAAGAUUUGCCUACUAGGUGGAAUUCCACCUAUGAGAUGUUGAAAACGGCGGUGGAUUUAAGGGAUAUAUAUUUCUCUUAUAAACUUGAAGAUAGCGGCUAUAAUCAUGAUUUGGAAAGACUACCUGAACAUUCUGACUUUGGUGCUUGUGAAAAGUUGGUUAAAUUUCUAGAAAACUUUAAGACCAAAACAGAAAUUGUGUCAUCCCCAUCAAAGCCGUUAGCUCACCUAUUUUUUAGAGAAAUCCUAGAUGUAAACAAACAUCUAUGGGUGUGGGAUUGCGAUCCAACUUUUUCUACAAUGAUUACUUCAAUGCGUGAGAAAUAUGACAAGUAUUAGAGGAAGUUUGACAAACUUAACGACUGCAUGUAUUUUGCUGUUAUCUUGGAUCCCACCAUUAAAUUACAUUUUGUUGAACAUUGUUUUACAGAGAUGAUUAUCUCUAACGUAAUCGAUGAUGAUCAUGUGUCAAAAGAAGACAUUAAAAAGAUGGUAUCGAUGAAGUCGUUUGAUCUUGAGAGUAGGUUACAUGAGCUAUUUCAAACAUACAAGGACCGACUUGACAAUUUCGAUUACAAUUAGGCAUCGCAAAAAGCACGUAACGACGAUGUUGUUGAAUGUGAUGGCAAUGGCUUCUUCAUGGAGUUUCUAAAUAAGGAAGAAAGUCAAUCGGUUGGUAUGGAAACUAAGUUAAAGAGGUACUUAAAUGAGCCAAAAGUGAAUUUUAGUAUCAAAAUUGACAUACUUAAGUGGUGGAAACAAAACGCGAUUAGAUUCCCAAUUGUAUCUCGGAUGGCUAAAGGUAAAUUAAUUUACCUUUAUCAUGUUUUUUUAACAUUACUUGGUUAUAUUAUUGUUUUUUUUUAAUUUGCAUAAUAGUUAGAUAUUUUGGCAAUUCAAAUUUCCACGGUCGUAUCUGAAUCGGCGUUUAGCACCGACGGUCGUGUACUAGAUGCUUAUUGAGCAAGGUUGUCAACUAAAAUCGUUGAAGCUUUGAUUUGUACCCAAGAUUGGUGAGAAAGUCAAGAAAACCAAUUGUGGAUGACAUAAUAUAUUAAAGGAUGACGACAUUGCCAUAGAGAUUGAAGAUGCGAUUCAAAAACAAUGACAAAGGGAAAGAGAUGGUGCAUAACAAGGCUUAAGCAAACUCAAGGAAAUAGAGUUUGAGUGCGGUUAAAUGGUUAUACUUUUGCUCACAUGGAGUUAGACUUUUGUUUUGUUCUUAUUUGACCUAAGUGUCUUUUAACUCUCCUGAUGUGAGGUCAAGUUUUUGUGUAUGAGAUGGGUUUGUGCUUGAAACAUUCGUAACAAAUUAUGUGUUUUGAUACGAACCAUUUCCUACUGGAAUAUUUGCUUGGUAACAUAUUUAUUUUUUGUCAAUGUU